CUCCCCUCUGUAGUUUAUCCAUCCGUGUUUGGAGAGAAUGGGAUCUUCYUCCUCACAGUCAUAUACAGGUAUCUACUUCUUCRAGGAAUACGUGUAGAUUCAGUCUUUACUAAGCUGAUGUUGUCCUGACUCAAAAAAGGCUGCUGGGGAGUAAAAAUAGAUCUAUGAAUUUGGGAAAUUGCAGCAUAACUGAUGACUUUCCAAGGCUGUUGUUAAAUAGUACUUUUUUUUCAGCUCAGCRUGUUAAUUUUCAUCUUUCUGAUAGAAAGCUGUUAUACUUGUAUGAACAUUUACUUGCAUCUUAUGUCUUAAUUCUUAAGUAGGAAUAUGCCUCUGGCUAUGUAGAGUUUGUCACUUGCAGUAUUAAUGGAUAAAUUAACACAUUUUAAGCAACURUAUUUUCUAUUCAUUUCUUGUUGCACGAGAACCUGUUCCUGCUGCUGUCACUGCACAUACCGCAGUCGCUACCUCUACUGUCACUGCACCUAGCGCUGUCUACACCUCUCCUGCUGACUCACGAGCUUCAGAUGUCCARUGCUUUAUAGAUAAGUAAAUAUUACACCUUUAUUUCCUGAGUUUAAAUGUAAGUGYGCCUUGAGAUUGCAGACUGCUCUCAGGGCAGGGUGUUGUGUGUCAGGUUUUUUAAAAAUUGCUCAGGAUUUCCUGCUCUAUGCAUUAGAUGCUUAAUUCACAUUGAUACUUCACAAACACCUUGUUGUCYUAUGUACUUUGGGAUAAAUGAUAUAUUAUGUUCCAUAAUGUUUGAUGGAUAUCAAAAUUAGAGUUUAUUUAGCCUUUUUUUUUAAAGUAAUGGUGUUUCUGACACUCUUUUCUGUGUAUUAGCAGCCCUGAAAUCAUCUACAUGUUGCUAGCCUAUAUCUCUGGCAUCCUGUCAAGUGCUUUCUUUUUUGCAGUUGUCUACCUUAUCAGAAAAAGGCGUAAGAGACCUCAAGAAAACUUCCAGGAGCAAGCUCACCCUCAGGAGGCCUGUGAGACGUUUGUUGGGAACAGCCAGCCCCAGGAUGAGGUUACCUAUGCCACUCUGGUCCUCCAGCAAGCUGUGGCCCCAGGCACUGUAUGAUGAUGUGCACAGCUUCUGCUGGAAUGGGGACGCCUUCACACUCUGCAAGUGCCGUGCUCUUGGAGUUGUAUCAAAUCAUGUCCUGCUUUAAGGAAUGCUGCCAACAUUGCAGUAUGUAACAUCAGCUAGCUUUGCAGUUAGGAGGGAGAGUUAAGGCCUUCCCUUCCAGCUGCUCCCCAACACUUGUGGACAAAUAAUUUGAUUUUUACAGAUUACUUCMUCUGUAGAAAUGUCUGAGAGUUCUUGCAAUACACUUUUGUUGUUUCCUUUUUUUUUUUUUUUGCUAUUGCUUUCAAACAGAGCUAAAGCAAGUAUUUUUUUCCUAUUUGUACUUCUCUGUGCAUAAGUACGUUUGUGCCUAUAUACAUUUGUACGUAUGUUUCUCUGUUUGRUUACUGGCUACAGGUGACUUUUCUUGCUUUUUUUGACUGCCAAGUGCUCUGUGCUCUGUUUAACCUUUCUGCUCAGUGAAGUGAUGAUAAUAAAAUCUCUUCAUGCAAAUUUGUUUCCUGAGUGGAUCACAAGAAUAAACUUCCUAACUUUGUCGCCUUUAAAGCGUCAUUACAUGCUGAAAUGCAUGAUCAUAUUGUUACAGUCAAAACUUGUGGAAAUGAUGGUUUGGAUCACUCUAAGUAUUUUGGAAAUUUUAAAUUGCCUUCUUUUCAGAGGAUAGG
Molecule: long non-coding RNA, 1755 nt
Organism: Nothoprocta perdicaria
Lineage: Eukaryota; Metazoa; Chordata; Aves; Tinamiformes; Tinamidae
Exons: 3
Source: RefSeq, a predicted model, not a curated record